GACGAACGCUGGCGGCGUGCUUAACACAUGCAAGUCGAACGAAGUGGCGAACGGGUGAGUAACGCGUAAUCAACCUGCCCUUCAGGGGGGGACAACAGUUGGAAACGACUGCUAAUACCGCAUACUGAAGGAGGGGAUUGCGUCUGAUUAGCUAGUUGGCGGGGUAACGGCCCACCAAGGCGAUGAUCAGUAGCCGGGCUGAGAGGAUGAACGGGCAAAUGGGGACUGGGAAACGGCCCAGACUCCUACGGGAGGGAGCAGUGGGGAAUCGUCCGAAAUGGACGAAAGUCUGACGGAGCAACGCCGCGUGAGGGAUGACGGCCUUCGGGUUGGAAAGCUCUGUUAAUCGGGACGCGGUACCGGAAGAGAAAGCCACGGCUAACUACGUGCCAGCCGCCGCGGUAAUUC
RNAcentral lists this ribosomal RNA (408 nucleotides) under uncultured bacterium. RNAcentral describes it as "partial 16S ribosomal RNA". It matches the Rfam family "Bacterial small subunit ribosomal RNA", at positions 28 to 526 of the family's 1533-position model. The record is from RNAcentral.